ACCCGCUGAACUUAAGCAUAUCAGUAAGCGGAGGAAAAGAAAAUAACAAUGAUUGCCUUAGUAACGGCGAGUGAACCGGCAAUAGCUCAAAGUGUAAAUCUGUUGCACACAGUAACAGAAUUGUAAUCUAAAGGCUUUUUAGGUAAGUCAUGGUUCUCGCAUAAGUUCCUUGAAAAGGGGCGUCAUAGAGGGUAAAAACCCCGUGUUCGGCGAGGACUGGAUGUACCGAAGGGCUCCAAGAGUCGGGUUGUUUGGAAUUGCAGCCCUAAAUGGGAGAUAAACUUCUCCUAAAGCUAAAUAUUAAUGGGAAACCGAUAGCAAACAAGUACUGCGAAGGAAAGAUGAAAAGAACUUUGAAAAGAGGGUUAAAAGACUUGAAAUCGUUGAGAAGAAAAGCGGUAGAAGAGAAAUGUGUUCACGAGGAUUAUGCAUCGGAGUAAAGCCAGCCAGUGGUUAGGUACUUCAUAGGGCCGGCUAUUGGCUAGGUGUAGCUUGGGUGCUUUUUCCCAGUGAAAUGCACAAUGAGGUUUUAUUCUAGGAAACCUUCUCAAAAAGUCUCUGGUCUUGAUACUGGAAGAUUGAGUAAGACACUAGAAUUUAGCCUGAGGGUCCUGAUGGAGAUUGUGCAAAAAAGGCUUCUACCGACCCGUCUUGAAACACGGACCAAGGAGUCUACCGCAUAUGCAAGUCUUAGGGUGGAAAAACCCGAAGGCGUAACGAAAGUGAGUAUAAGGUGUGAACCUGUAGAGGGGCAACACCAACCAACCUUGAUUCUCGAAUGAAGGGAUUGAGUAAGAGCAUAUUUGGUAGGACCCGAAAGAUGGUGAACUACACUUGAGUAGGGUGAAGCCAGGGGAAACUCUGGUGGAGGCUCGAAGCGUUACUGACGUGCAAAUCGUUCGUCAAACUUGAGUGUAGGGGCGAAAGACUAAUCGAACCAUCUAGUAGCUGGUUCCCUCUGAAGUUUCUCUCAGGAUAGCAGGAACAAUAACGCAGUUUUAUCAGGUAAAGCGAAUGAUUAGAGGAAUCGGAGGUCCUAGACCUUUGACCUAUUCUCAAACUUUAAAUUGGUAAGAACUUGGAGUUUCUUAAUUGAACUCUGAGGAAGAAUGCGGUGUUCUUAGUGGGCCGUUUUUGGUAAGCAGAACUGGCGAUGAGGGGUGAACCUAACGCUGAGAUAAGGUGCCAAAAUUCGCGCUCAUCAGAUACCAUAAAAGGUGUUGGUUCAUUUAGACAGCAGGACGGUGGCCCUGGAAGUCGGAAUCCGCUAAGGAGUGUGUAACAACUCGCCUGCCGAAUGAACUAGCCCUGAAAAUUUAUGGCGCUAAAGCGCGAUACCGAUACUCAGCCAUCAUAGUAAAUGUGAGACUAUGAUGAGUAAGAGGGCGUGAGCACAGUGCAGAAGCCUUUGACGUGAGUCUGGGUGGAACUGUGUUUAGUGUAGAUCUUGGUGGUAGUAGCAAAUAUUCAAAUGAGAACUUUGAAGACCGAAGUGGAGAAGGGUUCCAUGAGAACAGCAGUUGGUCAUGGGUUGCUCGAUCCUAAGACAUAGGGAAAUUCCUUGAUAAUACAAGGACUGUAUAGUCCGUUGUCAAAAGGGAAUGAGGUUAAUAUUCCUCAAGCUGAUCGCGGAUUUCGUGUGGCAACACAAGUGAGCCCGGCAACAUCGGCAUGACCCCCUGGAAGAGUUCUCUUUUCUUUUUAACAGAUUAUGGCCCUGAAAUUGGAUUAUCCAGAGCUAGGGCUGUAUGUCUGGCAGAGCAGCUCACCCUAAGAGCUGUCAGGUGCGUUCAUGACGAUCCUUGAAAAACCGGGGGAGAGGUAAUUGCGCGACAGAUCGUACCCAUAACCGCAUCAGGUCUCCAAGGUU
RNAcentral lists this ribosomal RNA (1870 nucleotides) under Frontonia canadensis. RNAcentral describes it as "LSU rRNA". It matches the Rfam family "Eukaryotic large subunit ribosomal RNA", at positions 23 to 1874 of the family's 3401-position model. Lineage: Eukaryota; Ciliophora; Oligohymenophorea; Peniculida; Frontoniidae. The record is from RNAcentral.